CUGUUUCAGUACUAUUUUUAAUACUCACCAUGCUGGUGUAUUUAGUGUUAAAGGAAUUGAGAGGAAAUCUAAGUGGUAAACUAAUGAUUUGCUAUCUUUUGUCAUUGACCAUGGGUUUUUGCAUUAUUAGUUUUAUUAAUAUUUCGGGUCAAAAAUUCCAUGUUCUGCCCUGCAGUAUUUUGGGUUUCACUUGUUACUUUUUCUUAAUGGCUGCCUUUUGUUGGUUAAAUGUUAUAUGUUAUGACAUUUGGAAGAAUAUCAGGGAGGUUAAUAGUGAAGUGAAUUCGGCAGAGGAUGGCAAACAGUUUAUUAUUUAUUCCCUGUACGCGUGGUUGAGUGCUGCCUUGGCAACUGGGGUUAGUGUUUGGAUAGAACUGUCUCCAAGUGUGGAUGAAAAUUAUAAGCCGGGCAUUCAUAACUUAAGAUGUUGGUUGAAUACUGAAAAAUGGUCUGCCGCAAUUUACUUCUUCGGUCCCACUCUAGUCAUUUUGUUUCUUAAUUUAUUAGCAUUCGUUCAUUUAACGGGAGUAAUCUGUAAAGUACGCUGCGAUCUGGCCAGAAUGACAACUAAAGAGAGGUUUUUUCGGGAAAAUGCAAUUAUAAUUUUUCGUUUAUAUCUUAUAAUGGGCAUAUCGUGGCUGUUCGAUGUUUUCUCGUACGUUCUGUCUAACCGUAAAGGAUGGGAGUAUUUAUUUCUUCUUUCGGAUUUCAUUAAUGCCAUUCAAGGGAUUUUGAUAUUUGUGUUGUUUGUUUUAAAACCGAAUGUUUUGAAACUAUUGAA
This is a long non-coding RNA of Calliphora vicina (urban bluebottle blowfly), 781 nucleotides long. RefSeq lists it as uncharacterized. NCBI's taxonomy places the organism in Eukaryota, Metazoa, Arthropoda, Insecta, Diptera, Calliphoridae. The transcript is spliced from 4 exons. The record is from RefSeq and is a predicted model, not a curated record.